CUUGUCAAGCAAGAGUGACGGGCGAUUUGUGCAUAUGAGAUUUCUUCGACAGUUAGAAAUUUUUUUUUCCUACUUUAAGGCAAGUCCUCUUUAAUUAAUUUUUUCCUCAUUUCUCCACUUUAAAAAUUUUUUUAUGUAUCCCGCUGUUUUCUACCAUAUAUCCUCUGUCUUGAUUUAUAUUAGGAUGCCAUUAAUUUUUUAACGAAUUUUCCGUUUGCACACAAUGAUAUAGGGGGUAAAAUUUGUAGUUCUUUUAAUCGUGGGUUAUCUAUUACAUUGUAGGAUCCCCUGUUUAGGUCUAAUACCGCCAUUCCUCUUAGUUUUCUUUUACUUGAAUACUCCCUUUUAUUUUCUAGGA
Molecule: ribosomal RNA, 358 nt
Filed under: Tetra lobulifera
Lineage: Eukaryota; Metazoa; Arthropoda; Arachnida; Trombidiformes; Eriophyidae
Description: partial small subunit ribosomal RNA
Source: RNAcentral